GAUGAACGCUGGCGGCGUGCCUAAUACAUGCAAGUCGAGCGAACAGAUGAGGAGCUUGCUCCUCUGACGUUAGCGGCGGACGGGUGAGUAACACGUGGAUAACCUACCUAUAAGACUGGGAUAACUUCGGGAAACCGGAGCUAAUACCGGAUAAUAUAUUGAACCGCAUGGUUCAAUAGUGAAAGACGGUUUUGCUGUCACUUAUAGAUGGAUCCGCGCCGCAUUAGCUAGUUGGUAAGGUAACGGCUUACCAAGGCAACGAUGCGUAGCCGACCUGAGAGAGGGAUAGGACACAGUGGAAGUGAGACACGGUCCAGACUCCUACGGGAGGAAGGAGUAGGGAACCAUGCGAGAAAGGAGAAAGCAUGACGGAGCAACGGGGGGUGAGUGAUGAAGGCAUUGGGAUGGGAAAGCUGUGUGAUUAGGGAAGAAGAAAUGUGUAAGUAACAAUGCAAGUAAUGACGGUACCUAAGCAGAAAGCAACGGCUAACUACGUG
Molecule: ribosomal RNA, 497 nt
Filed under: uncultured bacterium
Lineage: Bacteria
Description: partial 16S ribosomal RNA
Rfam family: Bacterial small subunit ribosomal RNA
Source: RNAcentral